UUACGGCCACAUCACGUUGAAUCACUGGUUCUCGUAAAAUCGCUGAAGUUAAGCAACGUCGAUUCUGGUCACUACCUAGAUGAGUGACCGCUUGGGAAUACCGGGUGCUGUAAG
Acanthosepion pharaonis is the source of this 114-nucleotide non-coding RNA. The record is from the annotation of a GenBank genome assembly. NCBI's taxonomy places the organism in Eukaryota, Metazoa, Mollusca, Cephalopoda, Sepiida, Sepiidae.